RNAcentral lists this ribosomal RNA (681 nucleotides) under Arthrobacter sp. RNAcentral's name for it is "bacterial SSU rRNA". It matches the Rfam family "Bacterial small subunit ribosomal RNA", at positions 327 to 1016 of the family's 1533-position model. The record is from RNAcentral. Lineage: Bacteria; Bacillati; Actinomycetota; Actinomycetes; Micrococcales; Micrococcaceae.
GCACUCCUACUCCUUACGGGAGGCAGCAGUGGGGAAUAUUGCACAAUGGGCGCAAGCCUGAUGCAGCGACGCCGCGUGAGGGAUGACGGCCUUCGGGUUGUAAACCUCUUUCAGUAGGGAAGAAGCGUAAGUGACGGUACCUGCAGAAGAAGCGCCGGCUAACUACGUGCCAGCAGCCGCGGUAAUACGUAGGGCGCAAGCGUUAUCCGGAAUUAUUGGGCGUAAAGAGCUCGUAGGCGGUUUGUCGCGUCUGCCGUGAAAGUCCGGGGCUCAACUCCGGAUCUGCGGUGGGUACGGGCAGACUAGAGUGAUGUAGGGGAGACUGGAAUUCCUGGUGUAGCGGUGAAAUGCGCAGAUAUCAGGAGGAACACCGAUGGCGAAGGCAGGUCUCUGGGCAUUAACUGACGCUGAGGAGCGAAAGCAUGGGGAGCGAACAGGAUUAGAUACCCUGGUAGUCCAUGCCGUAAACGUUGGGCACUAGGUGUGGGGGACAUUCCACGUUUUCCGCGCCGUAGCUAACGCAUUAAGUGCCCCGCCUGGGGAGUACGGCCGCAAGGCUAAAACUCAAAGGAAUUGACGGGGGCCCGCACAAGCGGCGGAGCAUGCGGAUUAAUUCGAUGCAACGCGAAGAACCUUACCAAGGCUUGACAUGAACCGGAAAGACCUGAAACCAGGCCCCCG